RNAcentral lists this ribosomal RNA (460 nucleotides) under uncultured bacterium. Its description in RNAcentral is "partial 16S ribosomal RNA". It matches the Rfam family "Bacterial small subunit ribosomal RNA", at positions 338 to 795 of the family's 1533-position model. The record is from RNAcentral.
CCUACGGGCGGCUGCAGUGAGGAAUAUUGGUCAAUGGGCGCGAGCCUGAACCAGCCAAGUCGCGUGAGGGAUGACGGCCCUACGGGUUGUAAACCUCUUUUGCCGGGGAGCAACGGGCGCCCCGUGUGGCGCCACAGAGAGUACCCGGAGAAAACGCCUCGGCUAACUCCGUGACAGCAGCCGCGGUAAUACGGAGGGUGCGCGCGUUAUCGGGAUUUUUGGGGUUUAAGGGGUGCGGAGGCGGAUCGUAAAGUCCGUGGUCAAACUGAGGGUCUCAACCCGUUACCGCCAUUGAUACUGGCGCUCUUGAGUGGAAGAGAAGUGUGCGGAAUGCGUGGUGUAGCGGUGAAAUGCAUAGAUAUCACGCAGAACCCCGAUUGCGAAGGCAGCAUGCCGGCUUCCGACUGACGCUGAAGCACGAAAGCGUGGGGAUCGAACAGGAUUAGAUACCCGAGUAGUC